RNAcentral lists this ribosomal RNA (433 nucleotides) under uncultured bacterium. RNAcentral's name for it is "partial 16S ribosomal RNA". It matches the Rfam family "Bacterial small subunit ribosomal RNA", at positions 29 to 507 of the family's 1533-position model. The record is from RNAcentral.
AGCGAACGCUGGCGGCAGGCUUAACACAUGCAAGUCGAGCGGGCCCUUCGGGGUCAGCGGCAGACGGGUGUGUAACACGUGGGAACGUACCCUUUUGUUCGGAAUAACGCUGGGAAACUAGCGCUAAUACCGGAUACGCCCUUUUGGGGGAAGGCUUGCUGCCGAAGGAUCGGCCCGCGUCUGAUUCGCUUGUUGUUGGGGUAAUGGCUUACCAAGGCGACGAUCAGUAGCUGGUUUGAGAGGAUGAUCAGCCACACUGGGACUGAGAAGCGGCCCAGACUCUUACGCGAGGCAGCAGUGGCGAAUAUUGGACAAUGGGGGGAAGCAUGAUCCAGCCAUGACGCGUGAGUGAUGAAGGCCUUAGGGUUGUAAAGCUCUUUUGUCCGGGACGAUAAUGACGGUACCGGAAGAAUAAGCCCCGGCUAACUUCGUG